UUGGCGGACGGGUGAGUAACGCGUAAGAACCUGCCCUUGGAGGGGGACAACAGCUGGAAACGGUUGCUAAUACCCCAUAGGCUGAGGAGCAAAAGGAGGAAUCCGCCCAAGGAGGGGCUUGCGUCUGAUUAGCUAGUUGGUGAGGCAAUGGCUUACCAAGGCGACGAUCAGUAGCUGGUCUGAGAGGAUGAUCAGCCACACUGGGACUGAGACACGGCCCAG
Molecule: ribosomal RNA, 222 nt
Filed under: uncultured bacterium
Lineage: Bacteria
Description: partial 16S ribosomal RNA
Rfam family: Bacterial small subunit ribosomal RNA
Source: RNAcentral